UCAUUCUUAAUCGACACACAAUAUGAUUCGCUUCUUGAUAGCUCUGUUAUUGGCUGGAUACGUCCUCAGUGUCCCAGUCGAUUCUAAAAUCAAAGAGGCUUCAGAGGUCUCAACUCCAGCGCCAGCAAGAAAUCUUGACACAACAAAAACGGGUGCUGAAAAAUCUGCUCUGACCAAAGACUCUGAUUUGGAAACCGAGCCCAGUGUGUGGUUCAGUUACCAUCACAGCAUCCAUAGUGUUCCGGCUCCCUUGAUAAUUCCAAGGCCACGAGUUUACGCGUCAUACUACGCUGAUUACGCGCCUUAUUAUUCAUACUGGAAUACAUGGUAAUUGGUAAUUACUACUAACGACAUAAUAAAUAAAUAUAUAUUUAAAUAAAACAUGUAUUAAC
This is a long non-coding RNA of Pieris brassicae (large cabbage white), 392 nucleotides long. RefSeq lists it as uncharacterized. The transcript is spliced from 3 exons. Lineage: Eukaryota; Metazoa; Arthropoda; Insecta; Lepidoptera; Pieridae. The record is from RefSeq and is a predicted model, not a curated record.